UACGAAGGGGGCUAGCGUUGCUCGGAAUCACUGGGCGUAAAGCGCACGUAGGCGGCUUUUUAAGUCAGGGGUGAAAUCCCAAGGCUCAACCCUGGAACUGCCUUUGAUACUGGGGAUCUCGAGUCCGGAAGAGGUGAGUGGAACUGCGAGUGUAGAGGUGAAAUUCGUAGAUAUUCGCAAGAACACCAGUGGCGAAGGCGGCUCACUGGUCCGGUACUGACGCUGAGGUGCGAAAGCGUGGGGAGCAAACAGG
Molecule: ribosomal RNA, 253 nt
Filed under: uncultured bacterium
Lineage: Bacteria
Description: partial 16S ribosomal RNA
Rfam family: Bacterial small subunit ribosomal RNA
Source: RNAcentral